UGCCUCAUGCUGUGACAGAUGUUGGUAU
This 28-nucleotide non-coding RNA is filed under the name Mus musculus (house mouse). Lineage: Eukaryota; Metazoa; Chordata; Mammalia; Rodentia; Muridae. The record is from RNAcentral.